Molecule: ribosomal RNA, 466 nt
Filed under: uncultured bacterium
Lineage: Bacteria
Description: partial 16S ribosomal RNA
Rfam family: Bacterial small subunit ribosomal RNA
Source: RNAcentral
GUCGAACGCUGGCGGCGUGCUUAACACAUGCAAGUCGAACGGAAAGGCCCUGCUUGCAGGGUACUCGAGUGGCGAACGGGUGAGUAACACGUGGGUGAUCUGCCCUGCACUUCGGGAUAAGCCUGGGAAACUGGGUCUAAUACCGGAUAGGAGCCAUUUUUAGUGUGAUGGUUGGAAAGUUUUUUUCGGUGUAGGAUGAGCUCGCGGCCUAUCAGCUUGUUGGUGGGGUAAUGGCCUACCAAGGCGGCGACGGGUAGCCGGCCUGAGAGGGUGGACGGCCACAUUGGGUCUGAGAUACGGCCCAGACUCCUACGGGAGGCAGCAGUGGGGAAUAUUGCACAAUGGGCGCAAGCCUGAUGCAGCGACGCCGCGUGGGGGAUGACGGCCUUCGGGUUGUAAACUCCUUUCGCUAGGGACGAAGCUUUUUGUGACGGUACCUAGAUAAGAAGCACCGGCUAACUACGUG